Molecule: unclassified non-coding RNA, 289 nt
Organism: Macaca fascicularis (crab-eating macaque)
Lineage: Eukaryota; Metazoa; Chordata; Mammalia; Primates; Cercopithecidae
Rfam family: Metazoan signal recognition particle RNA
About the family: The signal recognition particle (SRP) is a universally conserved ribonucleoprotein. It is involved in the co-translational targeting of proteins to membranes. The eukaryotic SRP consists of a 300-nucleotide 7S RNA and six proteins: SRPs 72, 68, 54, 19, 14, and 9.
Source: Ensembl
GCGCGAGCACAGUAUCGGUAGUCCCAGCUACUAGGGAGGCUGAGGUGGGAGGAUCACUUGAGCCCAGGAGUUCUGGGCUACACUAUGCCGACUCGGUGUUUGCACUAAGACUGGCAUUGAUAUGGUAACCUCCCAGAAGUGGGGGACCAUUAGUUUGCCUAAGAAGGGGUGAAGUGGCCCAGGUUGGAAAUGGAGAAGGUCAAGACUCCUAUGCUAAUGAGUAGUGGCACCAUACCUGUGAAUAACCACUACACUCCAGCCUGGGCAGCAUGGUGAGACCCUGUUUCUC